UGGAGAGUUUGAUCCUGGCUCAGGACGAACGCUGGCGGCGUGCUUAACACAUGCAAGUCGAACGAUGAACCGGAGCUUGCUUCGGGGAUUAGUGGCGAACGGGUGAGUAACACGUGAGUAACCUGCCCUGGACUCUGGGAUAACCCCGAGAAAUCGGAGCUAAUACCG
RNAcentral lists this ribosomal RNA (168 nucleotides) under Agromyces albus. RNAcentral's name for it is "partial 16S ribosomal RNA". It matches the Rfam family "Bacterial small subunit ribosomal RNA", at positions 1 to 171 of the family's 1533-position model. Lineage: Bacteria; Bacillati; Actinomycetota; Actinomycetes; Micrococcales; Microbacteriaceae. The record is from RNAcentral.